RNAcentral lists this ribosomal RNA (253 nucleotides) under uncultured bacterium. RNAcentral describes it as "partial 16S ribosomal RNA". It matches the Rfam family "Bacterial small subunit ribosomal RNA", at positions 524 to 776 of the family's 1533-position model. The record is from RNAcentral.
UACAGAGGUCCCAAGCGUUGUUCGGAAUCACUGGGCGUAAAGGGUGCGUAGGCGGCGGGGCAAGUCAGAUGUGAAAUGCCAGGGCUCAACCUUGGAACUGCAUCCGAUACUGCCUUGCUCGAGUACUGGAGGGGAGUCUGGAAUUCACGGUGGAGCAGUGAAAUGCGUGGAGAUCGUGAGGAACACUAGUGGCGUAGGCGAGACUCUGGACAGUUACUGACGCUGAGGCACGAAGGCCAGGGGAGCAAACGGG